CUUGGUCAUUUAGAGGAAGUAAAAGUCGUAACAAGGUUUCCGUAGGUGAACCUGCGGAAGGAUCAUUACAAGUGAGGCUACCGAACGUUGGAAACAGCGGUUAGGAGCUUACACCCACCCGUGUUUACAUACUAUUGUUGCUUUGGCGGGCCGUGGCCUCCACUGCGGGCUCUGCUCGUGUGUGCCCGCCAGAGAACCAAACUCUGAAUGUUAGUGAUGUCUGAGUACUAUCUAAUAGUUAAAACUUUCAACAACGGAUCUCUUGGUUCUGGCAUCGAUGAAGAACGCAGCGAAAUGCGGUAAGUAAUGUGAAUUGCAGAAUUCAGUGAAUCAUCGAAUCUUUGAACGCACAUUGCGCCCUGUGGUAUUCCGCGGGGCAUGCCUGUUCGAGCGUCAUUUAACCACUCACGCCUAGCGUGGUAUUGGGGCACGCGGUCUCCGCGGCCCUCAAAAUUAGUGGCGGUGCCGUCUGGCUCUAAGCGUAGUACAUACUCCCGCUAUAGAGUUCCCCCCGGUGGCUCGCCAGAACCCCCAAUUUUUUACAGGUUGACCUCGGAUCAGGUAGGGAUACCCGCUGAACUUAGGCAUAUCAAUAAGCGGAGGA
This 604-nucleotide ribosomal RNA is filed under the name uncultured Phialocephala. RNAcentral describes it as "eukaryotic LSU rRNA". The stretch from base 243 to 396 matches the Rfam family "5.8S ribosomal RNA". Lineage: Eukaryota; Fungi; Ascomycota; Leotiomycetes; Helotiales. The record is from RNAcentral.